AUUUCGUCAGCAGGGGCAUUCAUAAUGUUACAGAUCUGAAAAAAGAUCAGGAAAACAGUCUUGCCUGUGACAGCCGGGCAGAUACUAUGAUUCUAAAAGGACCGUCCAACCCCACGAGCUUCUAAGCAGGCCAAGCGAGCAGCUGGGAGCUGGCAGAGGCACACAGGUCGGAAGGCCACUGGCCAGGGCCCAGUGAUCAGCUGGGGGUGUGCUGGGAGAGAGAAGCAGAUGCUCGGCUGACGGCCGUGCACGGAGAUUUUGCGCAGUGUGUUUAUUCCCUUCUCUGAGCUCCAGAUCAGCACACCAGCCCCUCCCCACCUACCCAGCUGGACCCACAGCGCAGGGGACCCCAUGGUGCCAGGGGCCCAGGCUCCCCAUGAGCUGGCCAGCGUGGGUGCAGGGCCCUGCCUCUGGUGCACUUACGGGAUGACCUUGAUGUCUUCCUUGCCGUGGAGGAUGUAGUCGAUGACUUUGUAGAAGAGGAUUUCCUGAGACACGGACCACAGGUGUUGUGAGCUGCUCCCCCAGGAACCCAGGUGCCCUGCUCUACACACGUGUGCACACCCACCCACACAGUUGCAUAUGACUACAUAUGUGCAUGGUACACACACAUGUGCACACAUGCACUUCAUGUACACACACCCAGGCCCCCAUAGACACUCGUGGGACACACACUGUGCGCUUUGUCCUGCCCUUGUCCCCACUGUGUCCCACUCAAACCUAACACGCCUGGGCCCCAGCUCCUUGCACAAACCCACUCUGCCCUCCCAGGCCUGUGUGCUGUGACACAUACUCAUGUGACUGUGGCAGGUGUGGUUGCAGCCAACCUCGGGCAGGGACUGUUCUAGGCACUCAGUGCCCAGAACCCACUGAGCCCUCAUAAUGCCCUGCAAGGAGGCACUGUUGUCACCCCCGUGAGACAGAUGGGGAGACUGAGGCACACCAGGGCUGUGUGAUGUGUCCCGGUUGGGUGCGUAGUAAUGGCGGAGGCAUCUCCCAUGCUCCUACCACUGUUCACACUGCUGCCACCAUGCACACACCCAUGUGCACACGUACACACACACACAUGGACCCAUGUGGGGGUUGUUACAAGGAUUUAAAGAGGGGGUGGCCGAGGACUGACCAACCAAAACAGCCGUCGUAGGCUCACCCUGCUCACAGCCUCAGCGGUCACAGAGGCUGGCCACACCCCCCACACCCCUCCUCUCCCCCACCCUCUCCACCUGGGUGGGGCUGGGCAGGGUUCCCCCGCCGCAGCUGGAGCCUGGGAAACUCAGGCGUGG
Long non-coding RNA from Manis pentadactyla (Chinese pangolin), 1283 nucleotides. RefSeq lists it as uncharacterized. The transcript is spliced from 3 exons. The record is from RefSeq and is a predicted model, not a curated record. NCBI's taxonomy places the organism in Eukaryota, Metazoa, Chordata, Mammalia, Pholidota, Manidae.